This is a long non-coding RNA of Lates calcarifer (barramundi perch), 1579 nucleotides long. RefSeq lists it as uncharacterized. NCBI's taxonomy places the organism in Eukaryota, Metazoa, Chordata, Actinopteri, Centropomidae. The transcript has 2 exons. The record is from RefSeq and is a predicted model, not a curated record.
CCAGCCUGCGGCAUGAUCUCAGUUUCCUGGUUUCUGUUAUGUUGUAUUUUCUCUUGUGUUUCUAGUGUUUGAUUUGUGUUAUUUUGGUAGUUAUCAUUUCUCCUGAGUUUCUGGUUUCAUCCUUUUCCCUUGUGUUUCUGGUGUCAUUGUGCUUCCUGUUUUAUUUUGAAGUCUUGUCUUGUCUCACCAGUGUUGCUUUUACUUCCUGUCUUUGUCCUAUGUUUCCCUCCAUUUUCUGCCCUCACCUGUUCCCCAUGAGUAAUUAUCCCAAUGGGUAUAUAUGGUCCUGUGUCUUCCCAGUCCUUUGUCAGAGUAUUGUGGUGUUCAGUGGAUGUGGCUGUUUGUUGGGCUUGGUGUGUGUGCGCGCGCGCGUGCCGAAGCCCAACAAACGCGCGUGCGUGCACGUAUGUACGUGUCCCUGUGUUCCCCAGUGUUCCUUUUGGAUUUGUUUGGACCUCUUGUGUUCUUAGACUUUUUCCUGCGCCUGAUCGCCAGACACCUGGUUGGCCCUGUCCCCAGCUAUGUCGAGGCUGAGCCCCCAGAAGGAAGCACAGGCCUCAGAGACUCUAGGCCUCCAGUUUCUUGGCUGAGCUUGAGCCUCGGUCUUCCAGCCUCCAGCUCCAGCUACAGCCCCUGGGUUCUAACUAUCAUACCUUACCUCUGCCCCAGGCUUCUUCACUUCAGGCUGCUUCACUUCAGCGGCCUGGCACCAUGAUCCACAGCCAGUCAGCAGCUCUCAAAGUGGCAGCCCAGUAGACACCUCUCCCGUCUGUGGUCCAUCCUACCCCAGCUCCUUGUCAUUUUCAGUUGGCAGUCCAGCUGACACCAGCCUCGUCAGUGGUUUGGCCGAUCCCUGCUCCUCGUCUCCAGUUGGCCCAGCAGACAACUGUCCCAUCUGCAGUCUGCCCCACUCCAGCUCCUCGCCAUCUCCAGUUGGUGGCUCGGUUGACACCAGCUUCCAGUGUUUUCUUGUUGGCGGUCUGGCCAACUGCAGCCAGUGAGCGGCUCUACUGUUCAGCCUCCUGAGGGGACUCUGUUCCGCCAUCAUUGCCUCCUGCCCGGCCUCCUGAGGGACUCUGCUUCACUGCCGUCGUCGCCCUCCUGCCCAGGCUGCCUGAGGUUUCCUCUUCCCUGGCUCCCCAGCCCCCUGGCUAUCCACUCAAGGAGUUUGAUCAAAUAAAAUGUCCCCAAAUGCCAAAAACUAGCAAAAUUUUCAAAUUAAUAUUAAAAUGGCCAACUUCCUGUAGGUUUGAGGAUAUGCUGUUGAGAGACUUUUUGAUGCAUCGCAGCAUGUUACAUCAUGCCUCCGAAUUUUGUUCAUCUCGGACAAACCAAGCCCAAUGGUAAGGAGGUUUUAAGUAUGUCCAAGGGGGCGCUGUAGAGCCAUUUUAUGGCUCCAAUGAAUGAGACCCCUAUCAAAUAUCAAUUUUUGCCAGGUCUGAUGUGUGUGCAAAGUUUUGAGUUUUUGAGCAUGUUUAGGCCCUCAAAAAAUGCAAUUUUAGCAUUACAAGAAUAAUUCUUUGAUUACAAUAGGGCCUUUGCAUGCUAGUGCUUGGGUCCUAAUUAAAUUUAGCAACUA